RNA transcript from Priapulus caudatus, 1426 nucleotides. It is a transcript of the gene named hydrolethalus syndrome protein 1-like, with no coding region annotated. The record is from RefSeq and is a predicted model, not a curated record. Lineage: Eukaryota; Metazoa; Priapulida; Priapulimorpha; Priapulimorphida; Priapulidae. The transcript has 4 exons.
AAACUAUGGCGGUGAUUCGUGUAAUCUAGGUGUAAACAAAAUAUCAAUGAAAUCACCUGCAUGUAUUGUAGUACAGUUACUGUUAGUAUGUAUAUAUAUUUAUGAGUAUGGUCCUAACGGUGUUGUCUAUCUAUAGUGAAUUAGAAUCAUCCAAAGCAACAACGUUAAACUACAAGUUGACGGCAUGACUCAUCGGCAUGAGCAGCGCCCUCUAUCUGCGGACGACAGCAGCGUAUCGAUGCUGAGCGACGAGUCAUCUACGACUCGCCGAUUCACGAAGCGUAAGGUGCUGCGCCAGGUGGACGGCCGCUCGCAGGUGUUCGACGAGAGCUCGCUGAGUGAUGCUAGCGCCCUCAGUGAGAACGUGAGAGACUACGCCGAGCGGAGAGACGGCGGACCACCGCGGUGGAACCUGCGACAGCGUCCGCAGCGUGGAUCAGCGCCACCUAGCUUCAGGUCAGCACGCUACCCCGAAUCGACCCAAGGCGUAGAAGAGGAAGAGGAGGAGGACUACGCGUGUCUGCGAGCGCGACGUUCCUUCAUCCGGCCAUCGCUGGGUGAGGCCGAGCCAGGCAGACUCGAUCGUCGGUGCGACCCCGUCGACAGAUACCACGCGUACCGCGAGAUCUGGGACGCGCAGCCUCCGCCGGGCACGCUCAGACACAGCGCCCUCCGGUGGGCAGUCCGCGAGCGGAUGCUGACGCAGGACGAGCCGCCGUCGCCGCGGCGACCACGCCGCACGCCGACGGCGUACGUCGUGCCAACGGAAAAGAAGCGACAGUCGCUGCGAUGGCAGGUGCGCUCCGUGCUCGCGGAGACGAACCGCUAGCCUCGGGUGGGGUCUCGGAUGAUGCCGGGGUCGAGACGUCUUCACCUCGAGGUCGUGGUGGAGGUCAAGGUCGUGACCUUCGGAGUCGAGGUUGGCAUCGCUGUUGUGAUCGCUCGCCAAGUUGUUGUCGCGCAUUGUCGUUCGCCGUGGUUUAAUGAGAUGGUGUGUGCUGCGUGAUUUAGUGUGUGGUGCGUGCGUAACGUAAUAUGCGUGUAGUGUACUGCUUGGUAUGUGUGUGCGUGUGUGUGUAGUGUAGUGUAUUGCUUGGUAUGUGUGUGUGUGCGUGUAGUGUACUGCUUGGUAUAUGUGUGUGUGUGUGUGUGUGUGUGCGUGUGCGUGUGCGUGUAGUGUACUGCUUGGUAUGUGCGUGUGUGCGUGCGCCGUGCGUGCGUGUAGUGUAGUUUGGUAUGUGUAUAUGUGCUUGUUUGUGUGUGUUGUGUUGUAUGUGGUGUGUUGGGAGUUUCGUUAGCUCAUGUACCUUUAGGUUAGGGUGCUAGCAACGUUAUGAAUUAUUGCUUUAAGAAGCAUUUUUUUAAUCGAACUGUAUAGUAUGCUGCCACUAUGCUGAUUGUAUUAUGAUUAAACUUUCAUUCCUAG